AUGGUUUUUCUGGAAAGAUGGCUUUGGCUAUCACUCUGGGAUGGACCUGCGGUGCAUUUAGCUAGUUGGUAAGGUAACGGCUUACCCAAGGCGAUGAUGCAUAGCCGAGUUGAGAGACUGAUCGGCCACAAUGGGAACUGAGACACGGUCCAUAACUUCUACGGGAGGCAGCAGUAGGGAAUCUUCCACAAUGGGCGCAAGCUGAUGGAGCAACACCGCGUUAUUAAGAAAGGGUUUCGGCCGCUUAAACUCUGUUGUUGGAGAAGAACGUGCGUUAGAGUAACUGUUACGCAGUGACGGUAUCCAACCAGAAAGUCACGGCUAACUACGUGCCAGCAGCCGCGGUAAUACGUAGGUGGCAAGCGUUAUCCGGAUUUAUUGGGCGUAAAGCGAGCGCAGGCGGUUGCUUAGGUCUGAUGUGGAAACUCGGCUUAACCGAAGAAGUGCAUCGGAAACCGGGCGACUUGAGUGCAGAAGAGGACAGUGGAACUCCAUGUGUAGCGGUGGAAUGCGUAGAUAUAUGGAAGAACACCAGUGGCGAAGGCGGCUGUCUGGUCUGCAACUGACGCUGAGGCUCGAAAGCAUGGGUAGCGAACAGGAUUAGAUACCCUGGUAGUCCAUGCCGUAAACGAUGAGUGCUAGGUGUUGGAGGGUUUCCGCCCUUCAGUGCCUGUUCUAACGCAUUAAUGCACUCCGCCUGGGGAGUACGACCGCAAGGUUGAAACUCAAAGGAAUUGACGGGGGCCCGCACAAGCGGUGAAGCAUGUGGUUUAAUUCGAAGCUACGCGAAGAACCUUACCAGGUCUUGACAUCUUGCGCUAACCUUAGAGAUAAGGCGUUCCCUUCGGGGACGUUAAUGACAGGUGGUGCAUGGUCGUCGUCAGCUCGUGUCGUGAGAUGUUGGGUUAAG
This 910-nucleotide ribosomal RNA is filed under the name uncultured bacterium. Its description in RNAcentral is "bacterial SSU rRNA". It matches the Rfam family "Bacterial small subunit ribosomal RNA", at positions 190 to 1084 of the family's 1533-position model. The record is from RNAcentral.